This 71-nucleotide transfer RNA is filed under the name Bryodema miramae miramae. RNAcentral's name for it is "tRNA-Lys". Lineage: Eukaryota; Metazoa; Arthropoda; Insecta; Orthoptera; Acrididae. The record is from RNAcentral.
CAUCAGAUGACUGAAAGUAAGUAAUGGUCUCUUAAACUAAAAUAUAUUAAGUUAACAUUUACUUCUGAUGG